GGAAAAAUAAUGGAUUAUCUCCUCGAAACAUCAUGCAUCAACAGUAUUGAGAAUGAGCCAUGUAGUUCAGCUCUAGAAUAUUUAAAGGAACAUUACCUGCUAGUCAAGGUCAAAUCCCUUGGUACAAUUAUGCUCACACUGGAAAUCCAAAGAAAGACCACUGGCAUCUAUAGUAAUGUUGCUGGAGAAAGGAAAUCCUCUUCUCUUGGUUGUAAGUGGUCAAUAAACAAUUGCCAAC
Molecule: non-coding RNA, 238 nt
Organism: Pelobates cultripes (western spadefoot toad)
Lineage: Eukaryota; Metazoa; Chordata; Amphibia; Anura; Pelobatidae
Source: the annotation of a GenBank genome assembly